GGUAUGCAGUCGAACGCGUUGGCCCAAUUGAUUGAUGGUGCUUGCACCUGAUUGAUUUUGGUCGCCAACGAGUGGCGGACGGGUGAGUAACACGUAGGUAACCUGCCCAGAAGCGGGGGACAACAUUUGGAAACAGAUGCUAAUACCGCAUAACAGCGUUGUUCGCAUGAACAACGCUUAAAAGAUGGCUUCUCGCUAUCACUUCUGGAUGGACCUGCGGUGCAUUAGCUUGUUGGUGGGGUAACGGCCUACCAAGGCGAUGAUGCAUAGCCGAGUUGAGAGACUGAUCGGCCACAAUGGGACUGAGACACGGCCCAUACUCCUACGGGAGGCAGCAGUAGGGAAUCUUCCACAAUGGGCGCAAGCCUGAUGGAGCAACACCGCGUGAGUGAAGAAGGGUUUCGGCUCGUAAAGCUCUGUUGUUAAAGAAGAACACGUAUGAGAGUAACUGUUCAUACGUUGACGGUAUUUAACCAGAAAGUCACGGCUAACUACGUGCCAGCAGCCGCGGUAAUACGUAGGUGGCAAGCGUUAUCCGGAUUUAUUGGGCGUAAAGAGAGUGCAGGCGGUUUUCUAAGUCUGAUGUGAAAGCCUUCGGCUUAACCGGAGAAGUGCAUCGGAAACUGGAUAACUUGAGUGCAGAAGAGGGUAGUGGAACUCCAUGUGUAGCGGUGGAAUGCGUAGAUAUAUGGAAGAACACCAGUGGCGAAGGCGGCUACCUGGUCUGCAACUGACGCUGAGACUCGAAAGCAUGGGUAGCGAACAGGAUUAGAUACCCUGGUAGUCCAUGCCGUAAACGAUGAGUGCUAGGUGUUGGAGGGUUUCCGCCCUUCAGUGCCGGAGCUAACGCAUUAAGCACUCCGCCUGGGGAGUACGACCGCAAGGUUGAAACUCAAAGGAAUUGACGGGGGCCCGCACAAGCGGUGGAGCAUGUGGUUUAAUUCGAAGCUACGCGAAGAAC
Molecule: ribosomal RNA, 961 nt
Filed under: Limosilactobacillus fermentum
Lineage: Bacteria; Bacillati; Bacillota; Bacilli; Lactobacillales; Lactobacillaceae
Description: bacterial SSU rRNA
Rfam family: Bacterial small subunit ribosomal RNA
Source: RNAcentral